This 497-nucleotide ribosomal RNA is filed under the name uncultured bacterium. Its description in RNAcentral is "partial 16S ribosomal RNA". It matches the Rfam family "Bacterial small subunit ribosomal RNA", at positions 28 to 507 of the family's 1533-position model. The record is from RNAcentral.
GAUGAACGCUGGCGGCGUGCCUAAUACAUGCAAGUCGAGCGAACAGAUGAGGAGCUUGCUCCUCUGACGUUAGCGGCGGACGGGUGUGUAACACGUGGAUAACCUACCUAUAAGACUGGGAUAACUUCGGGAAACCGGAGCUAAUACCGGAUAAUAUAUUGAACCGCAUGGUUCAAUAGUGAAAGACGGUUUUGCUGUCACUUAUAGAUGGAUCCGCGCCGCAUUAGCUAGUUGGUAAGGUAACGGCUUACCAAGGCAACGAUGCGUAGCCGACCUGAGAGGGUGAUCGGCCACACUGGAACUGGGACACGGUCCAGACUCCUACGGGAGGCAGCAGUAGGGAAUCUUACGCAAUGGGCGAAAGCCUGACGGAGCAACGCCGCGUGAGUUAUGAAGGUCUUCGGAUCGUAAAACUCUGUUAUUAGGGAAGAACAAAUGUGUAAGUAACUAUGCACGUCUUGACGGUACCUAAUCAGAAAGCCACGGCUAACUACGUG